Ribosomal RNA from Lepisosteus oculatus (spotted gar), 118 nucleotides. NCBI's taxonomy places the organism in Eukaryota, Metazoa, Chordata, Actinopteri, Semionotiformes, Lepisosteidae. The record is from Ensembl.
GCCAGCAGCCAUGUCACCCUGCAACUCUCAACUGGCAACUCACUGAAGCUAAGCAGGUGUGAGCCUGGUCAGUACCUGGAUGGAGACCUCCUGGUAAAAACUAAGGUUGCUGCUGGAA